Molecule: ribosomal RNA, 540 nt
Filed under: uncultured archaeon
Lineage: Archaea
Description: bacterial SSU rRNA
Rfam family: Archaeal small subunit ribosomal RNA
Source: RNAcentral
AGGCGCGAAACCUUUGCAAUGCACGAAAGUGUGACAAGGGGAUCCUGAGUGCUUAAGCAAUGCUUAGGCUUUUGCCAAGGGCAAAAACCUUGGAGAAUAAGUGGUGGGUAAGACGGGUGCCAGCCGCCGCGGUAACACCUGCGCCACAAGUGGGAGUCACAAUUACUGGGUCUAAAGCGUCCGUAGCCGGUUUGAAAAAUCUUUUGUGAAAUUGUAAAGCUUAACUUUACGAAGUGCAGAAGACACUAUCAGACUUGGAACCGGGAAGAGCGAGAGGUAUUCCGAGGGGAGCGGUUAAAUGCUAUAAUCCUCGGAGGACCACCGGUGGCGAAGGCGUCUCGCCAGAACGGAUUCGACGGUGAGGGACGAAAGCUAGGGGAUCAAACAGGAUUAGAUACCCUAAUAGUCCUAGCUGUAAACGCUGUGAGCUAGAUGUUGCAUAAUCCUGUGAUUGUGCAGUGUCGAAAAGAAGUUGUUUAGCUCACCACCUGGGGAGUACGGUCGCAAGGCUGAAACUUAAAGGAAUUGGCGGGGGAGGAC